CGUAAAGCGUGCGCAGGCGGUUAUGUAAGACAGAUGUGAAAUCCCCGGGCUCAACCUGGGAACUGCAUUUGUGACUGCAUGGCUAGAGUACGGUAGAGGGGGAUGGAAUUCCGCGUGUAGCAGUGAAAUGCGUAGAUAUGCGGAGGAACACCGAUGGCGAAGGCAAUCCCCUGGACCUGUACUGACGCUCAUGCACGAAAGCGUGGGGAGCAAACAGGAUUAGAUACCCG
RNAcentral lists this ribosomal RNA (230 nucleotides) under uncultured bacterium. RNAcentral describes it as "partial 16S ribosomal RNA". It matches the Rfam family "Bacterial small subunit ribosomal RNA", at positions 559 to 788 of the family's 1533-position model. The record is from RNAcentral.